GCUGGUUCUUCCAGGAGCGCGCAUGAGCGGACGCUGCCUACUGGUGGCCGGGCGGGAUGUAACCGGCUGCUGAGCUGGCAGUUCUGUGUCGCUAGGCUUCUGCCCGGCCGCCGCCGCACAUAAGCCACGAGGAGGAGCUUUACGACUUCCCGGUCUUCGGCGCCGGGCGCAGCAAGGGCCAGACUCUGCGCUAGCAGGCGCUGCGCGCCAACCGGCCGGCACCUGUCGCAGAAGGUGCAACCGAUCGCACUGUCGCGCAGAAGCUCCUCAAUGGCCAGCGCCAGCUGCAGCCCCGGCCGCCCACUCGCCUCAUCUGAGCCUGGGCAAAUCUGGAUUGGGAAAGUUGACAUUAAUCAACUCAUUAUUCCUCACAGAUUUGUAUUCUCCAGAGUAUCCAGGUCCUUCUCAGAGAAUUAAAAAGCCUGUACAGGUCUAGAUAUUGGUAUUUUUAAUUGAUGAUAAGCUGGAAUAAUAUUAAUACACACAAAGCACGUGUUGUAACUUUCAUUAUGCUUCCUUAGAGCGCUGCUCUAAGCUGUUGAUGAAAAAUAUUGUUGGUGAGCUCUGCUUAGGUAAUAUAUAGGACAUGAGCAGAGAGGAGGCACGUGAACAGUUCUGGCCUGGAGUAGGCUUCAUUGAGGCUGUGAUGCUUUUAGCUGGAUUUGAAGAAGUGGUAGUGAUCAUCCCAGUGCACAGGAUAGGUGGACAGUCUAUGUAUUCUGAGCAGUAACUCAUAUAUCUCAUACUGCAAGACCCCAAAGGAGUAAUUUUGUGAACUCUGUUCACGGAAAGGGCCUGGGAGCUGCAACACCUCAACAGCAACAAGCACACCUGCUACCUAGAACUUGGUUUCUAAAAACCAUCCUCCUCUAAAAGGAAACAGAGCUCUUUGAAGAAACGGUGAGACAGUCAACAAACCUCUAACCACCGACCUUUUCUCCUCUGCCCUCCACUCACACUCUGCUCCAUCACCCUCAGCCACACAGCUGACGCUGUAGAGAUUCACUGACAUCCAGUCUGAUGGACACUGUUUCUCCAGCCGAAACUGCUCAUGAGAACAUGUGCAGUGAAGUGCUCCAGAGGCCCCAGCAUGCUACAUUACAGAAGACUGAACUCAGGAGAGAUGAGGAAUAAUCCCCUCCAUCACACCAGACACCAGGAGGGUGUGCCAAGAGGUAACUUUGCUGAACUUGUGAAGAAUGGUGUGCAAGGUCCAGAGCGACUGCAGGAGAGGGAAGGUGGGAUUCCCACAGAGCAGGAGCACAGAUAAGCCAAGCAAGGCCCUGCUUGGAAGGCAGCAAUCAACAGAGAUGCACAGACCUGUGAGGGUGCCGGGACAGCCAUGCAACAAUGCAGCCCUUUUGCUUCCUGAGCUCACCAGUUCCCUCGCUCCACCUCUGAGAGGUGGUUUGGAGAAACACAGCCCUUCUCAAGAGGGCUGCAAGCUACUUAAGUCCUGAAAAUUUCCACAAGGCUGAGUCAAAUCUGCGUUUCAUCAUCUAUAAGAAAGGUACCUAUCGAGAACACCCUGCUGGCCAGUGUGUAAAUAUCUAAAGGAGGACUCAGAAAACACCGGGGAAGUCCAGCCUGCACGUGGUGGCUGGGCUUCAGUGAAGCAUGCAGCACAACAGGAGUUAGCAGACCACAAAGAGCAUGUCUGGACCUAGAACCACAGCAUGUAACCUCGGAAGCAGUGAGACACCAGCCAGCAUGGACAAGCAGCAGGCACUUGCUCUAUACCAGAUAUGCUGCAUGAUAGAACGCUAUGCCCUCUCACAGAUAGGUCCCACCUCCAGCCUUCCCCUGCUGCCAUCUAACAUCCUAAACUCCAGCUCUGAAUGUCUGUCUCCUGCUCUGAAUCUUCAGUGACUUCGAAACUCAAGUCAGGACACCUCUCAGUUUGGCCUCACUGCUCAAGAUUGAGCUGAAUUCAUGACCAUAAUUCAAGCAUUCAGAUUCAUGGGCUGUUUUGUGGGUUUUGCUAUCUCUUAUUUUGUUUUUGCACAUCUUACCCACUGAAACGUUGGGCUGCAAAAAGUUUGAUCACUAAAUAUGUAGGCAAUGCUGGAUACUGGGCUGUUAUUUACAUAUUUGUAUCACCUUUUAUUUCAUAAGAUAGCAUUGUCAGAGUAAUUUAGUAUUUCAACAUAAUCAACAAGUAAAAUAAAAUUAAUGAGAAUGA
RNAcentral lists this long non-coding RNA (2182 nucleotides) under Homo sapiens (human). Its description in RNAcentral is "PREDICTED lncRNA (TCONS_00000041)". The record is from RNAcentral. Lineage: Eukaryota; Metazoa; Chordata; Mammalia; Primates; Hominidae.